UGGCCUUGACAUGCAUCUCUAAACCGGUGAAAGCCGGCGAGUCUCGAAAGAGACAAUUUGCACAGGUGCUGCAUGGCUGUCGUCAGCUCGUGUCGUGAGAUGUUGGGUUAAGUCCCGCAACGAGCGCAACCCUUGUGAACUGUUGCCACUCCCUUUGUUGGGAAGCACUCUGUUCAGACUGCCCUGUGAAACGGGGAGGAAGGUGAGGAUGACGUCAAGUCAGUAUGGCCCUUACGGCCAGGGCUGCACACGUACUACAAUGCCCAGUACAGAACGAUCCGAGACCGCGAGGUGGAGGAAAUCUAUCAAAACUGGGCUCAGUUCGGAUUGGAGUCUGCAACUCGACUCCAUGAAGCUGGAAUCGCUAGUAAUGCCGUAUCAGCUACGACGGCGUGAAUACGUUCCCGGGCC
Molecule: ribosomal RNA, 411 nt
Filed under: uncultured bacterium
Lineage: Bacteria
Description: bacterial SSU rRNA
Rfam family: Bacterial small subunit ribosomal RNA
Source: RNAcentral